GGGCGUUUGGCAUAGCGGUUGUGCAUCUGGCUUUUAACCAGACUUAGAUAGGUUCGACUCCUAUAGCGCCCACCA
Molecule: transfer RNA, 75 nt
Filed under: Cellvibrionaceae bacterium
Lineage: Bacteria; Pseudomonadati; Pseudomonadota; Gammaproteobacteria; Cellvibrionales; Cellvibrionaceae
Description: tRNA-Lys
Rfam family: tRNA
About the family: Transfer RNA (tRNA) molecules are approximately 80 nucleotides in length.
Source: RNAcentral